AACGAACGCUGGCGGCAGGCCUAACACAUGCAAGUCGAACGCCCCGCAAGGGGAGUGGCGAACGGGUGAGUAACGCGUGGGAACCUACCCAGCAGUUGGGGAUAACCGCGGGAAACUGCGGCUAAUACCGAAUACGUCCUAAGGGAGAAAGAUUUAUCGCUGUUGGAGGGGCCCGCGUCGGAUUAGCUAGUUGGUGAGGUAACGGCUCACCAAGGCGACGAUCCGUAGCUGGUCUGAGAGGAUGAUCAGCCACACUGGGACUUAGACACGGCCCAGACUCCUACGGGAGGCAGCAGUGGGGAAUAUUGGACAAUGGGGGCAACCCUGAUCCAGCAAUGCCGCGUGAGUGAUGAAGGCCUUAGGGUUGUAAAGCUCUUUUACCGGGGACGAUGAUGACGGUACCCGGAGAAUAAGCUCCGGCUAACUCCGUGCCAGCCGCCGCCGUAA
This 447-nucleotide ribosomal RNA is filed under the name uncultured bacterium. RNAcentral describes it as "partial 16S ribosomal RNA". It matches the Rfam family "Bacterial small subunit ribosomal RNA", at positions 29 to 523 of the family's 1533-position model. The record is from RNAcentral.